RNAcentral lists this unclassified non-coding RNA (4652 nucleotides) under Hevea brasiliensis (rubber tree). Lineage: Eukaryota; Viridiplantae; Streptophyta; Magnoliopsida; Malpighiales; Euphorbiaceae. The record is from RNAcentral.
AACUGAAAUAUGAGGUUAACUUCGUAAUUUGACCGACAUAUUUAAAUGCGGCACGAGAAGUUUGGCAACACGUGCUUUCUGCCAUGCCCUUUUGUCUUUGUCCAAAUCCGCCUACUCUUUUUUUCAGCUUCACGAUUACACAGAAAGAGAGAGAUUUGAGAGAGACAGAGAGAGUACCCGGUGAUGAAAACAGGAGUUUCUGGCGACAACUGGAAGUCCGAUGACCCACUACCGGAGGGCUGGACAGUCCAGGUCAAAGUGAGGAGCAACGGUAAAAAAGAUAAGGUAAUUAGCAAUUUGUUGAAGUCAUUGUUUUUCCGUUUUAGGUAAUUUUACUGUUUGGCUGCUGCUUGUGCUUUGAAUCUCUCGAAUCUUUCUGUUUCUUUUUCUGAUGCCUGGCUUUUAAAAGACUUGUCAUUUAAAUUAAAACCAAUUUAAUUGUUAGGGAAUGCUAUGAUCAUCAGUUUGUGAGAUUUGUAAAUUUGUGUGAAACUAUUAAUUGCAUUUAAAGUUUGAAUGUUUGCUAAAUCUGUCCUGAAGAAAUUGUUAAUUCGUUAUUUUUCUAAUUUAAUAUGUAAAUCUGAAAAACGACUCAAUUCUAAGCCAUUUUCUACUUUAAUAACAUGGAUUGAUUGAUACUGUAAAUUCAUUUUUUCACUACCAUGCUUUUCACUAAUUAACACAAAUAAUUAAAAGACUAAGUCCAUGGCUUUUAUUUUUAAUCUUUGUUGUUUUAUUUAGUCUUCUCAGUAACUCAAAGAUGAACCCAAAAUGGAAAGAUGCCUAAUGGGUUCUAUCCUGCUGUUCAAGAUUGGGGGAUAAGACUAUUCGAGGUUAAAUUAAGCAGUUUUUUUCGCUUGACUUCCUGAUCCAGUUGUGAUAGUCUUGUUAUGGUAUGCUUAAUCCUUGAACAUUCUCUAUCUGUUGUUACUGUAAUGAAAAGGGCCUUUGUCUAGUGCAGUAGGACAAAGUCUUGGGCUUGCAACCUCUUGGUAGCAGGUUCAAGACUUCACAACAACCACCAUCUCCAGAAUUCUCUUCACAUGACCCUAUUUUGAUGGAACAUAACUAGGUAAUGGACUUUUAUAUGUGUACUAAUGCAGCUUUGUAAGCUAAAAUUCUUGUAUCUCUGGUUAAUGUGGGCAUAAUUGGUCUUUCAGGAAAUGAUUCUACUCAACUUUGACUAAAAGUAGAAAGUUAUGAUAGAAGAAUCCAAGUCCAACAUUAAGAAUAUUUUUAAGGGAAUAAUGAACUCUAAGCUAUCUUUCAGUGACAAGGCAAUUGAAUUUUUAUAUUAAUCUGUUUUUAUUGCAGUGUUACUUUCCUCCCUCAGGUGAAGGUAAAUUCUACUCCAAACUAGAGGUAGUUCGCUAUCUUAACAACAGCAAUCCUAAAUCUGAAGAGAAGGAAAAAGGCAUUGACCAGCACAAUGAAAAUGUCUGAUGAAAAAUUCUGCUCUUUUUGCUUUUGUUUACCUCUACUUUCCAUUAUUGUUUUUAUCAAUAUAUAGAAGAAGGUUUUGAUUAGCUAAGGAAUCUAGGUUGUAGUUGAGAAGGCUGAGCCAAAAGGAUUACCUCCAGGAUGGACCAAAGAAAUCAAAGUGACAAAGAAAGCUCAUAAAAUCAGAAGGGAUUCGUAUUACACUGAUCCUGCAAGCGGAUAUGUAUUCCGCUCUAUGAAGGACGUACUUCGCUAUCUUGAAACUGGGGAGGUCGGGAAACAAGCAUUCAAGCCCAAAGACAAAGGCAACAAUGAUGUUGAGUUGGAAGAUGAUAAAGCAUGUGUAUGUGCAUCAAUAGUUCUGCAAGUUUAUAUCUUUAUUUUAUCAAUUAAUAAGAUAAUUCCUUAUGAUGCUUCCUCCAAGAUCAUUUUAUUAUUUUAUCAAGCAAGGGAUUAAAAAUUUUAUAGGUAGGCCUGUCUAUCCAUAAUAUGAUUGAAUUGAACUGUGUUAACACAAAUAGAGUUAUCAAGGGAAUCUUUUUAGAAAAUCAUUGAUAAUAUUAGUUAUGGGACAAGUGUAAGUGGUGUUGCUAGCCUUGAUGUUUGUACCUUUCCUUACCCAUGUUCAAUGGUCUUUUGAACUGUAAAUUUGGGCAUUUCUUUCUGUUGUUUUGUCCUCUGUUCUGGAAGUAGCUUUGUUUCCUCAAAACUUUAGAGUCUGUUUUUGGACGUGAGUGUGGAUAACUCUUUCAGUACAUUUGUCUUCUUUAUUCUUUUUAUGUGUAAACGGUUGCUUACUGUUGGGUAGCCAUCUGCAACUGCAAUUUGUGCUUGUUUGGUAAGGUGAAAUACUAUGAUCAGUUGCAGUUUUUGUUAAAAUUUUAUUAGCAUUAUCAAAUCUUUCAGUGUUUAAUUUUUUAUUAGUGUUUCUUGUUCAUUCUGAACCUCAAUAAAGCUAACCCUAUGUGUGUUGCAUGUUCUAAUUUCAAAAAGUGUAGCAAAUACAGCAGAAAACUUAAACAAACUGUUCAUUGUUUAUGGUAUCUUGAACAAAUCCGUGUUUAUGCAGCAUUAAUAAUUGCUCUGCUUUUUUUUCCCCAUUGGUCCAUGAAUGCCAGUUGAAACCAUUGUUUGGCUUAGAUUUAAUAAUUAUCAAUAUUUUGACUUCUUCAAAAUUUUCAUCUCUCUCCCUAGUCACCAGCUGCAGCAAAGAAACAAAAGUUGGCAGUCAAUGGAACAAGAAGUCCAACUAUAAGUGAGAAGAGCUCAAAGCCAUUUGAAGUUGCAAAGGAUGAACAAGUACUUAGUUCGGCUAAUACAGGAGAAUCCUUGCCUGUCUCUGAGCAUAGUAAUGGCCAUUGCAUUGUCAUAAAUUUCCUUACUGUUUACUGAGCAUUGUGUGUGUUUCUGCAUGUGCACAUUCAUGAGCUUUUUUCCGCUUAUUCAUUUCAUGGGAGUUGAUUGAAGGUGACAAGAUGUGGAAAAUUUUAUUUUAGAACAGGAAUUGGAUGAGACUUGACAAAUUGCUAUAGGACGUGAUUGGUUAUCGAUAUUUGUCUAUUUGUUGUGGGGCUGUUGGGGUGGGUAUAUGUAAAAUAUAUACUCUAAUUUGAAUAUGUGAAGACCAUGCAUCUAGUCCCAGGUGAACAUCCCAGUAGUUAGAAUUUGGGCUUCCAAUCCUAGGAUACAUCCCAUUGGGGUUAAGGGGAUAUUUAUAUCUAAUUUGAAUUUUCUUAAUGAUGCAGAUGUAGUAGGUGCUCAGUCUAACAGCUCAGAAGUGCCAGAGGGCAAAGGUUCAAACCAAACAGUAGGGAAGAGUGAUCCUGCUACAAGUGUAAUAGCUACUGCAGUUGAUAUCCUCCCAAAUGAGCCACCAGUGGAAAGUAGGGUGAUGAAGGAUGAAAUUAGAAGUACACCUCAAAAAUGCAAGAAGAAAAAGAAUCUUAACCUGCCUCGCCGGGCUUCAAAGCGACUUGCUGGCCUUCCACUCGAUCCUACACCUGAAUUGAAAACAACAAACCGAGCCCGUCAAGCUCCAGUUAAACAGUCUGAUGAUAUAGUUGUAAGUACAGGUGGAGGUUCUUCCCACACUGAGCUCCCCAAAAGCACAAAAUGUUCAUUUGAGUCAAAUAAGAGCAAGCAUCCAAUUGUACAUACAGCUGCUCCAAGCGAACAUGUAGAAAAGGUAGAAAGUGUAAAAAGGGGUGAUGAGAAGCCUGAACAUGCUGUUGUUUCAUCUAUAGGAAAUCUAGUAGAAACAGAAAAUGAGGAUAGUAAGAAGUGUGAACAUGCUGUUCUUUCAGCUGGUAGGAAUCUGGCUAUUGGAGAGGAACAUCCUGGAAUGAUCAUAACUGACAAUAAUGCUGAUGAGAAGCCAGGACUGCCUAUUGACCUCCCACUUGGGGAGUUAUGGCAAGAUCCAUGCAUUGCAUUUGCAAUAAAAAUCCUCACUGGAAUAUCAUUUGACAAUUCUGGAAGUGUACAAGUCUCAUCAGGGUCAAACAAUAGUGAAUUUGGGAGCUCAACUGCUUUGGAAGACCAUGCCAGGAAAGAGGAGGAUCAUAGGAAGCAAGGAUGCACUGUUCAUCAGCCUCUGGUUAACAUAGUUACUUCAGAAGAACGUCCUAGAGGAAUUGACAUUGGUGAUAAAAGUGAUGAGAAGCCAGGAUCCCCUCUUUCUUUUGCAGAUGCAUGGGCAGACCCCUGCAUUGAAUUUGCUAUAAAAACUCUCACAGAUGCAAUUCCAUUAGACUAUGAUAUGGUCAUUCAGGAUUGUCUUCCACAGAAAGCGAGCUCAUCACAGUCACCAGAAAGUAGUGGCUUGACCUUGCAGAAUGUAGGUGAGCCUGGUCAAACCGAAUUUUUUUAUCGGCAAUUUGGCAUUUCAGAGAAGCCUUCAUACAAUCAAGGGGCUUUGAUGGAGCCUGCAUUACCACACGCUAAAAAUGUGAACUUAGGAUACUCGGGUGGAGCCAUUCACCAUCAACUCAGUGAAGACAGAAGCAAAGAAUAUAAAAGGUAGCAAUCCAGUUGUAGUAAUCAAUUCAUUGUACAGUCUAGGGAACUUCGAUCUGGACGUGAUUAUUUUUGGGACGAGAUCAUCUGUAAUUCUCUAGUUAGCAUGAAUGUUCACCCCCUAAUCUAUCUGUACUCAGAUAUAAACUUUGUUGUCAUUCAUUUGAGAUAAAAAUUAGUUGGAACAGCAGUUUUUC